RNAcentral lists this ribosomal RNA (803 nucleotides) under uncultured bacterium. RNAcentral describes it as "bacterial SSU rRNA". It matches the Rfam family "Bacterial small subunit ribosomal RNA", at positions 8 to 796 of the family's 1533-position model. The record is from RNAcentral.
AGAGUUUGAUCAUGGCUCAGGACGAACGCUGGCGGCGUGCCUAAUACAUGCAAGUCGAGCGAACCUUUGGGAGCUUGCUCCCAAAGGUUAGCGGCGGACGGGUGAGUAACACGUGGGCAACCUGCCUAUAAGACUGGGAUAACUUCGGGAAACCGGAGCUAAUACCGGAUAAUUCUUUUCUACACAUGUAGAAAAGCUAAAAGACGGUUUACGCUGUCACUUAUAGAUGGGCCCGCGGCGCAUUAGCUAGUUGGUGAGGUAACGGCUCACCAAGGCCACGAUGCGUAGCCGACCUGAGAGGGUGAUCGGCCACACUGGGACUGAGACACGGCCCAGACUCCUACGGGAGGCAGCAGUAGGGAAUCUUCCGCAAUGGACGAAAGUCUGACGGAGCAACGCCGCGUGAGUGAUGAAGGUUUUCGGAUCGUAAAACUCUGUUGUUAGGGAAGAACAAGUACGAGAGUAACUGCUCGUACCUUGACGGUACCUAACCAGAAAGCCACGGCUAACUACGUGCCAGCAGCCGCGGUAAUACGUAGGUGGCAAGCGUUGUCCGGAAUUAUUGGGCGUAAAGCGCGCGCAGGCGGUCCUUUAAGUCUGAUGUGAAAGCCCACGGCUCAACCGUGGAGGGUCAUUGGAAACUGGGGGACUUGAGUGCAGGAGAGAAGAGGAAUUCCACGUGUAGCGGUGAAAUGCGUAGAGAUGUGGAGGAACACCAGUGGCGAAGGCGACUCUUUGGCCUGUAACUGACGCUGAGGCGCGAAAGCGUGGGGAGCAAACAGGAUUAGAUACCCUAGUAGUCC